UCAUGUUGGUCAGGCUGAUCUCCAACUCCUGACCUUGUAAUCUGCCUGCCUGGACCUCCCAAAGUGCUGGGAUUACAGGCGUGGAGCUACCCCGCCCAGCCAUAUGUUUUUAAAGUUCCCUAGUCAUUAGUUAUAUCUAAUAACAUCCCUUGGAGGCAGGUCAGCAGCAUUUUCCUUUUUUAUGGUUGAAGAAGCAGAUGUAAAGAUGUUGAGUGAUUUGCCCAUAGGUGCACACUGAUCACAGAGCCUGUUCUUUUGUUAAGUAAACUGAACCAUGCUGCCUCUCUACUGGUUAUUACAAACAAGUAAUAAAGUUGUUGCCAUUUAGUGACUUUUUGAUGGCUUUAUUGAAUAGUGAGUGUAGUUUACAAACCUUUUGUCUACUUCCUUUGUUGAAAACAUUUUAAAGUUAGAAUUUACUCGUAUCAUGGUAGGAAACAUUUUUAUGUAAAUUUCCCUGUUCUCUUAAAAAUUAGAAGAAAUCAGGCUGGGCACAGUGGCUCACGCUUGUAAUCCCAGCACUUUGGGAGGCUGAGGUGGGCGGAUCACUUGCAGUGAGGAGUUCGUGACUAGCCUGGCUGGUGUGGCUAAACCCUGUCUCUACCAAAAAUACUAAAAUUAGCUGUGCAUGGUAGCAUGUGCCUGUGGUCCCAGCUACUCUGGAGGCUGAGACAGGAGAAUUGCCUGAAUCCGGGAGGAGGAGGUAACAGUGAGCCAAGAUAGGGCAACUGCGCUCUGUCACCCUCUAAAAAAAAAAGAAAAUUUAGAAGAAAUCAUAUGAAAAAACAUAAAAAUGAACUAUAGUGGACUUAGUUAUUCUGGAAGAACCUUUGCUAGCAUGAAAAUUAGUGUCAAGCUGGACAUACGGCGUGUACCUGUAGUUCCAGCUACUUGGGAGGCUGAGACAGGAGGAUCGCUGGAGCCCAGGAGCUCUAGGCUACAGUGAGCCGUGAUUGCACCACUGGAUUCUAGCUUGGGCAAUAGAGCAAGACUGUUUCUAAAAGAAAAGAAAAUUAGUAUUAUAAAUUAGAAAAUUAGAGGCUUUGUACAAAGCUUUGAAGAGUUAAUAUUUUUAAGUAGGAGAAAAAUGAAUCCUCUCGUUGUAUUGCCCUAAGUAAUUUUGAGUUUGAAACACUAUGGCCCAUAUAACUUGAAGAGACUUUGAAAGGUCAUUUGACCCCUUGAGUUUAGACCGUAUCUCUUCUGUCAAGUGACAACACAGAAUAUUAUCUAGCUCAAAAAAGUCUUUUUUUUUUUUUUUUUUUUUUUUGGUGAUGGAGUCUCACCCUGUACCCCCAAGCUGG
Long non-coding RNA from Sapajus apella (tufted capuchin), 1304 nucleotides. RefSeq lists it as uncharacterized. The transcript has 2 exons. NCBI's taxonomy places the organism in Eukaryota, Metazoa, Chordata, Mammalia, Primates, Cebidae. The record is from RefSeq and is a predicted model, not a curated record.